This 451-nucleotide ribosomal RNA is filed under the name uncultured bacterium. RNAcentral's name for it is "partial 16S ribosomal RNA". It matches the Rfam family "Bacterial small subunit ribosomal RNA", at positions 29 to 523 of the family's 1533-position model. The record is from RNAcentral.
AGCGAACGCUGGCGGCAGGCUUAACACAUGCAAGUCGAACGCUCGUGGCAACACGGGAGUGGCAGACGGGUGAGUAACGCGUGGGAACGUGCCCUUUGGUUCGGAAUAACUCAGGGAAACUUGAGCUAAUACCGGAUAAGCCCUUUUGGGGAAAGAUUUAUCGCCGAAGGAUCGGCCCGCGUCCGAUUAGCUAGUUGGUGGGGUAAUGGCUCACCAAGGCGACGAUCGGUAGCUGGUCUGAGAGGAUGAUCAGCCACACUGGGACUGAGACACGGCCCAGACUCCUACGGGAGGCAGCAGUGGGGAAUAUUGGACAAUGGGGGCAACCCUGAUCCAGCCAUGCCGCGUGAGUGAUGAAGGCCCUAGGGUUGUAAAGCUCUUUCGGCGGGGACGAUAAUGACGGUACCCGCAGAAGAAGCCCCGGCUAACUUCGUGCCAGCCGCCGCGGUAA